CAUGAAAGAAUUAAAAUAAUUUGAAUUUUUUUUUCUUGAAGCUGGAGAGCCCUCAAAUUUUUUCAUUGGUUGUUUCUCUAUCCCUCUUAAGCAUUCAUGUUAAUCUUGGGUUGAUACACUGAAAUUUUAUGUUUAUUGUGUGGUAGAAUUAAAAUAAUUUGAUUUUGUUUUGCUUGAUGUUGGACAGUGAACCAAUUUUCUCAUUGGUUGUUUUCUCUAUGCCUUCUCAGGCUGCUAAACGAGAUGAAGAUGGGUACUGAGGAAGGUCACUGGAAACCCCACAAAAUAUUUCCUGGUGUGCUCUGAAAAGACAAUGUGAACUGGGUUUCUUGAAGGUGGGGUUUCUAAAGCCCAGAUCCUCAUGGCUCUACUAAGCUUGGCAUUGCAUUUGAUGAUGAAGGAAAAGCUCACAAAGACUACUACUUGGGUUUCAAAUGCUUGGUUAAGAAGCACCUGAGAUGGUGAUGAAGACGAGGAUGCAUAAAGCUAGUAAACGAAGAGGCCCCAUCUGAUUUGUCCUGGAGCAAAGUAGCCCAGUUAAAAGAAAGUCAUGCAGCAAAAGAAACAUAUGUUGGGGCAGGGGAGGGGUAACCUUUUUCUUUUCUUUUUUCUCUGUAGAGAGGAAAUUCAAGCCGUGAGGAAAAUUUUCUUCUGAUAAACUUGUGCAGUGAUGCAAUACUAUUGGCCUUUUUCUGUUGGCA
Molecule: long non-coding RNA, 701 nt
Organism: Malania oleifera
Lineage: Eukaryota; Viridiplantae; Streptophyta; Magnoliopsida; Santalales; Ximeniaceae
Exons: 2
Source: RefSeq, a predicted model, not a curated record